Molecule: non-coding RNA, 89 nt
Organism: Apodospora peruviana
Lineage: Eukaryota; Fungi; Ascomycota; Sordariomycetes; Sordariales; Lasiosphaeriaceae
Source: the annotation of a GenBank genome assembly
GGGUGACUAGUCUAGUGGUCAGGACGGUUCGUUGUGGUUGUUGUCUUCUGCUUCCCGAACAAACCCCGGUUCGAUUCCGGGGUCGCCCA